CGGGUCACAGAGCAGACAGCACCCCCACUACACCACAGUGUCCAGUUUCCAUGUGCUGUGCUAACACUGAGCUGUCCUUUCCUGAGUGGAGAGAGGCAGGCCCCUGACCCUAGGGUCACUGUGAGUUUGAGUCUGUCUGUAGAGUGUUUGCUGCUUUGUGCAGCCUGUGCAGCAGGCCUUGAUCACGGUUAGUUUGUCUGGCCCUGUUUUAAACCCUUGGCUUUUUAUCUCUGUGAGGCUGUAACCCUUGUCCCCUCCUCUCUAUGGAGUUAAAACCCAGUUAGUUGUCUGGCUUUCUGGGCGUACAGCCCUUGCCUGUAUUGUGCUUCCAGGUUAAAUGUAGGUAAGUUUAAUCUCUUUAAAUCUGAAUGAAGUUGGCUCCAAAGUUCCAGGGCUUUCCCAGGAGACAUAGCUGGAAUGACGAGAGUUCAGCAAAGUGCCUAAAGGGAGCUCAGUGGGAGAGGACUAACACUCUUCUCGGCUGCUCCUCCUCCUUUUCUUGCAGCGUUAGCCUUACAUCUCACCACCUCCUCCUCUUCUACCAGGUUGGUCAAGCCCAGCAUUCCAGCAACUCUCUGGUGUGACGCAGACAUGUGCCACCAAGACCCUACGCAGGGACAAUGUGGCACACUUCUCCUACCCCUUUACUCUGGAGAUGUUUUUCACCCAAGAGGAUGAGUCAGAAGGCUCUCUUCCACAGUGGCCUGUGAUCUAUUUUGAGGUUCUCUCGCUGGAUUAUUGGCAGAGGUAUCGUGUUGAAGGCUAUGGAUCUGUGGUGCUGCCAGCAGCUCCAGGUAAAACCUCCCCAAAUGACCGGUAUCUGGAGGCUGGAACAUUAAGCUUAGGGAGCUCUUCCCAGCCUGAAACUCAGCUGAUCAAAGGAUUUCCCGCUAGCAUUGUGGGACACAUGGGAGGCAAGAUCAAAUCAGUAUCAUAGAUGCCUGUAUACAAAUGCAAGAAGCAUGGGUAAUAAUCAGGAAGAACUGGAAGUGAUU
Pelodiscus sinensis (Chinese soft-shelled turtle) is the source of this 995-nucleotide non-coding RNA. NCBI's taxonomy places the organism in Eukaryota, Metazoa, Chordata, Testudines, Trionychidae. The record is from RefSeq and is a predicted model, not a curated record.